RNAcentral lists this ribosomal RNA (358 nucleotides) under uncultured Desulfobulbus sp. Its description in RNAcentral is "bacterial SSU rRNA". It matches the Rfam family "Bacterial small subunit ribosomal RNA", at positions 1025 to 1382 of the family's 1533-position model. Lineage: Bacteria; Pseudomonadati; Thermodesulfobacteriota; Desulfobulbia; Desulfobulbales; Desulfobulbaceae. The record is from RNAcentral.
UACUGGAGGACAGGUGGCUGCAUGGCUGUCGUCAGCUCGUGUCGUGAGAUGUUGGGUUAAGUCCCGCAACGAGCGCAACCCUUGCCUUUAGUUGCCAGCAGUUCGGCUGGGCACUCUAAAGGGACUGCCGGUGUUAAACCGGAGGAAGGUGGGGAUGACGUCAAGUCCUCAUGGCCUUUAUGACCAGGGCUACACACGUACUACAAUGGCCGAUACAAAGGGCAGCGACACUGCGAGGUGAAGCCAAUCCCGUAAAAUCAGUCUCAGUCCGGAUUGGAGUCUGCAACUCGACUCCAUGAAGUUGGAAUCGCUAGUAAUCGUGGAUCAGCAUGCCACGGUGAAUACGUUCCCGGGCCUU